RNAcentral lists this long non-coding RNA (1340 nucleotides) under Homo sapiens (human). RNAcentral describes it as "HSALNT0352651". The record is from RNAcentral. Lineage: Eukaryota; Metazoa; Chordata; Mammalia; Primates; Hominidae.
CUUCCGGGUCAGCCAGUUGGCGGCCUGGGCGUGGCGUUAGCUAGGGUUGGUGGCCUUCCAGUGAGUGGAGAAGUUCGCCUCCGCGCGGGUAACGGACUUUCUAAGCGUCAGAGAAGAUGCUGGACAUUUGUUUGCAAAGUUCUCUCAGGCCUCCGAUUUUCUUAUUUUAAGUUUUAGGCGAAACCUCAAGACACACUCCCAGAGAGUCAGACACCUUCCUGAACCCCCCCAGCAAGGUCCCCGGGCAUUCCUGAAGGAAUGUUCAACUGAGGAUGCAGGGCCUCUUAACAGUUAGUCCCGGGCGUUUUUCAGAGCUUGUCUGCUUUAUUUUCCCAGCCUGAGAGAUGAAGAGGUCCAGAGGCAUUGCGGCGGAGCGAGUCCCUAUUUGACCGUGCUGCUGGUUUUCACCAUGAUUGUGAGCUGUUCAUUUUCAAGGUGCUGAAUAGCUGAGAAGGAAGAAUAGGAAUAGGGUACCUGGUGCACCACCAGUCUGAAACCACCUUUAACCAAGUUCACAGUUUGGGUUCCCUGGAUGUCUUAGUCCGUUUAUGCUGGUAAAACAGAAUACCACAAACUGGAAUUUAACAGAAACAAGUUCGAAGAAAAACCAUGUAAAAGCCUGCAAUGAUAUUUUCACCUUUUUUGUGGAAAGAAAUAGAUACAGAAUUGGUAGUAUUUACUAUUAUGGCAUUUUGCUUUUGAAGGAGAAGAACCUGUAUGGUCAUGAAAAUCCACCAAAAAAUAAAAAAUACAAAUGACUAUGCGAGAUUUGCCAGUUAAACACAGUUUUUUAAAAUGAAGAGGACAUCUAAUAAAGGGGAAAUAUGUUCAUACAUCUUAAUGACUUACCAUUAAAAGUACCAGUUUAAAAGAAGAAAAUGAACACCACCACAGAUGGCUUAAUUUUACCCCUCGAACAUUGUUCUUUUUGCCAUAUGGAAUCACGCAUGAAAAGCAGCUCAUUCUGCAGUCUAUAAUAGUCCUACCAAAAGGGAAGCCUUAACAGAACAAUAUGUAUUAAUAAGAAACACAAACACAGAAUUGCUUAAUAUUUUGAUUUAUGUUUUUGGCUUCAAAAUUGUUGCCUUGGGAGUGCUUUUGAUAUCUGUGAAUAUCCCUUCAUUCUAAGGGGAUAAGAAAUACUAUGGCUAUGGAUGACACUCUCUCUGUAACCAGGCAAAGAUAGCAUAAUUUUCUAGUGUUGUACUUUGCGAAAGAGCAGCUGUAAAUAUUCAGGGGUAUCUUGCUUUAUGUAAUAGAAUAUCUCUGAAAAGCCUGGUUACAUGUAACUCAGCCAUUACAUUCAAAAAAUAUCUUAAAUGUAGUAUGGGAAAGCUAAA